AUAAAUUUGUCAGAGGAAUGUAGUAGAUUUAGGAUCUGCUUAUGAGAAUUUAAAUUUCUCAAUUUAUA
Molecule: transfer RNA, 68 nt
Filed under: Eochionelasmus ohtai
Lineage: Eukaryota; Metazoa; Arthropoda; Thecostraca; Balanomorpha; Pachylasmatidae
Description: tRNA-Leu
Rfam family: tRNA
About the family: Transfer RNA (tRNA) molecules are approximately 80 nucleotides in length. Their secondary structure includes four short double-helical elements and three loops (D, anti-codon, and T loops). Further hydrogen bonds mediate the characteristic L-shaped molecular structure. tRNAs have two regions of fundamental functional importance: the anti-codon, which is responsible for specific mRNA codon recognition, and the 3' end, to which the tRNAs corresponding amino acid is attached (by aminoacyl-tRNA synthetases). tRNAs cope with the degeneracy of the genetic code in two manners: having more than one tRNA (with a specific anti-codon) for a particular amino acid; and 'wobble' base-pairing, i.e. permitting non-standard base-pairing at the 3rd anti-codon position.
Source: RNAcentral